GUGUUGCUACUGUAACCUGUCGUCACAGCUCCACUCCGUCAUCUCCAUGGCAAUGCUUGCCGGAUAAAUCCAGGGCUUGGAUUCCGUCUUCAGCCCAGGUGCGCUAACAAGAAGGAAAAAAUGCUACUCAGGUUUCCCGUGUGCUUUGGAUCUCUUCAUUCAUGCCGUGGGCUAGUUUGUGAAUCUUCUGGAAGACCCGAGUGAUGAGAUCUACAUGAAAUCUACCUGGGAGGGUCCUUGAGAAGAUCCAGAGAACUUCGAUGCACCCAGUGCUUCCACACACACACGCACAGAAAUGCCAGCUCCAGCUCCUGAAUUAUUUUCCCUUACCUCACCAAAUCUUUAAUAACUAAGUAUGUAACUUUGUAUUAGUUAUGCUUGUAAUUAUAAAGUAACCUCCAC
Molecule: long non-coding RNA, 402 nt
Filed under: Capra hircus (goat)
Lineage: Eukaryota; Metazoa; Chordata; Mammalia; Artiodactyla; Bovidae
Description: lncRNA (ENSCHIG00000005089.1)
Source: RNAcentral